RNAcentral lists this long non-coding RNA (396 nucleotides) under Parus major (Great Tit). Its description in RNAcentral is "lncRNA (ENSPMJG00000017499.1)". Lineage: Eukaryota; Metazoa; Chordata; Aves; Passeriformes; Paridae. The record is from RNAcentral.
CACAGCCCCACUGGAGCAUUCUGAGGGGAAUGGGCUCAUGGCCCCGGAGCUGUGAGUGGGAAGUGGCCGUGGGGGUCCCACAGGGCCUGUUGGUACCCACAGGCUCCCUGAGGCCUUAAUGUAACCCCAGCACAAAGGAAGGAAUUGGCCACAAAGAGCAGCAGGUAGAAUAUUUCUUGUACAUGCAACAAAUGCACUACAUAUGUUUGAGAAUAUAUCUAUGAUGAGUGACAGAUUCAAAAUCCACUUCUCAUUCAAAAGAAGACCAGCACCACUGAUCUGGUUAAAUGCAAGAGUAGAAAAUUUUAAGGACAAGAGGUGAAGGAUUACUCAGGAGGGUGCCAGUAUCCCAUUUGAGUGUAUGAUUUGAUGAAGAACAGAGUAAAGCAGAAGAUG